AGAGUUUGAUCAUGGCUCAGGACGAACGCUGGCGGCGUGCUUAACACAUGCAAGUCGUGGGGGGGUAGCAAUACCUCACCGGCGAACGGGUGCGUAACACGUGAGCAACAUUCCGAUUUCUGGGGGAUAGCCGGCCCAACGGCCGGGUAAUACCGCAUACGCUCAUUGAGAGGAGUCUCUCGAUGAGGAAACCUCCGGGGGAAAUCGAGUGGCUCGCGGCCUAUCAGCUAGUUGGCGGGGUAAUGGCCCACCAAGGCGACGAUCAGUAGCCGGCCUGAGAGGGCGAUCGGCCACACUGGAACUGAGACACGGUCCAGACUCCUACGGGAGGCAGCAGUGGGGAAUUUUGCGCAAUGGGGGAAACCCUGACGCAGCAACGCCGCGUGGAGGAUGAAGGUCCUUGGAUUGUAAACUCCUGUCAGCAGGGAAGAAGGCCUGGGGGUGAAUAUCCCCCAGGAUUGACGGUACCUGCAGAGGAAGCCCCGGCUAACUCUGUGCCAGCAGCCGCGGUAAUACAGAGGGGGCAAGCGUUAUUCGGAAUUAUUGGGCGUAAAGGGCGCGUAGGCGGCUUCGCAAGUGAUGGGUGAAAUCCCUCGGCUUAACCGAGGAACUGCCCCUCAAACUGCGUUGCUUGAGUCCGGGAGAGGUGAGUGGAAUUCCCAGUGUAGCGGUGAAAUGCGUAGAUAUUGGGAGGAACACCAGUGGCGAAGGCGGCUCACUGGACCGGAACUGACGCUGAGGCGCGAAAGCGUGGGGAGCAAACGGGAUUAGAUACCCCGGUAGUCC
Molecule: ribosomal RNA, 786 nt
Filed under: uncultured Acidobacteriota bacterium
Lineage: Bacteria; Pseudomonadati; Acidobacteriota
Description: bacterial SSU rRNA
Rfam family: Bacterial small subunit ribosomal RNA
Source: RNAcentral